GGCGCUAUCAAAGAAAGCCAGAUCAAAACAUUUAAAGGUCCCAGACUUUGAUGUGGUAACUGAAUCUCAUCGUAACAUACACUAUAGCCAUGCCAAAAGAUAUGGUGGGGGGCAUUAGAAAAAGC
Ipomoea nil (Japanese morning glory) is the source of this 125-nucleotide long non-coding RNA. RefSeq lists it as uncharacterized. The transcript is spliced from 2 exons. The record is from RefSeq and is a predicted model, not a curated record. NCBI's taxonomy places the organism in Eukaryota, Viridiplantae, Streptophyta, Magnoliopsida, Solanales, Convolvulaceae.